UAGAGUAUAAGAGUGUGCUCAGAGCUCAGAUUGAACGUAGGCGGCAUGCUUGCACACAUGCAAGUCGGCACAGAACAGGCCGCAAGGUGCUGGCGAGUGGCGAACGGGUGAGUAAUGCAUCGGAAUGUACUCAGUCGUGGGGGAUAACGCAGGGAAAGCUGCGCUAAUACCGCAUACGACCUAUGGAUGAAAGCAGGGGACCGUAAGGCCUCGCGCGAUUGGAGCGGCCGAUGUCGGAUUAGGUAGUUGGUGGGGUAAAGGCUCACCAAGGCGACGAUCCGUAGCUGGUCUGAGAGGAUGACCAGCCACACUGGGACUGAGACACGGUCCAGACUCCUACGGGAGGCAGCAGUGGGGAAUUUUGGACAAUGGGCGCAAGCCUGAUCCAGCAAUACCGCGUGCAGGAAGAAGGCCUUCGGGUUGUAAAGCCCUUUUGUACGGAAAGAAACGGUCCGGUAAUACCCGGCAAGUAAUGACGGUACCCGUAAGAAUAAGCACCGCUACUCGCGCGCCCGGC
This 517-nucleotide ribosomal RNA is filed under the name uncultured Comamonadaceae bacterium. RNAcentral's name for it is "bacterial SSU rRNA". It matches the Rfam family "Bacterial small subunit ribosomal RNA", at positions 1 to 513 of the family's 1533-position model. The record is from RNAcentral. Lineage: Bacteria; Pseudomonadati; Pseudomonadota; Betaproteobacteria; Burkholderiales; Comamonadaceae.